CCACCCACAACAAAAAUGUAAUUCACAAAACAGACAAACCCGAUCCACUUUCACAAUUCCAUCCUUAUCCAUAACUCUUCCCAGUUCCCACCACCCUUUUCCUAUAAAUAACUAAUAAAUCGCUUUUCUUUUUUCUAAACACAAUACAACACAACACACUCUCAUUUGACACUAUACAAACUUACAAACAUGUCUGAUAUUGCUAUGUUGGUUGCGGAGGAGUACGAGAGAAGGGUCAAGAGUUUAAAAAACACUGCUUCUGUAGAAACAUGGGAAAUUGACAUUUCUUCUUCUGCUUCGCUUUUGUUUUCAAAGUUGAAGCUGAAUAAACAGAUUCUUCAGAGUCUAUUGGAACCAAAAACCCAAUUUGCUGUUGCUGCUUCUAACAGCUUCUUUUCUGCUUGAACAACUUAUUUCAAUGUUAAUACUUAUUACUUAUUCCUUGCUUUCGUUGCUUAAUUUUCAUGACAUCUUUUGUACAAAGCUAUUAUUAUGCUUCGAAUUCGAUUUAAAGAAAAUCGAUUGUCUCUAGUUAGUUUUUCACUUUUUUUCUUUAUCUUUUUACCAAAAUGAAAUAAUAAAAUAAACUCAUUGCGAUGUUUAAGUUGUAAUAGAAUUUGAAUGCAACAAUAUUACGGCACUUUACUGAUUCUUUGUUUACAUUAUACCCAGUCAGAAAUAAGAAAUUUAAGUCGCACUGAAUACUGAUAUUAUCGAUUUUUUUAUAGAAGAAAUAUAAUUCAAUUCAAUAUCAGCCCAGCCCAAAUUUAAAUUUGAGUGGGCCCAAAUUAAACUUUGAAAUUAUCCUUCCUACCUCUCAAAUUGUUUCAUUGAAAAGAAAAACAAACUCUUGUUUUGACGAAAUAAAUAAAUAAAAUCUCUUAAAUUUAUCUACACAAAAUCUCCAUUUUACUCGAUUACAAUAUUUCAAUGGUAGUGGGUUAUUCAUUUUGUUGGGAUAAAAAAUAUUCAUAU
RNAcentral lists this long non-coding RNA (975 nucleotides) under Cicer arietinum (chickpea). Its description in RNAcentral is "long non-coding RNA (CARI_LNC001756)". The record is from RNAcentral. Lineage: Eukaryota; Viridiplantae; Streptophyta; Magnoliopsida; Fabales; Fabaceae.